Molecule: long non-coding RNA, 222 nt
Organism: Etheostoma spectabile (orangethroat darter)
Lineage: Eukaryota; Metazoa; Chordata; Actinopteri; Perciformes; Percidae
Exons: 3
Source: RefSeq, a predicted model, not a curated record
AGGAGGAGGCAACACCAUUGGUGGACUUGGUCAGCCCAUCACCUGCCAGAGUUGCGGUGGAAGAGGUCAACCCCCAUUCUUCUAAUCCAUCAUUGAAGGACACCAGGGAGGACCAUGCCGUAAAGCUUCAAGAAAGAACCCCAGUGUCACAGAGGACAGAGGAUGUUCAUCAGAUGCCAAGCAACAAAAGAUGCAAAAUGGCACAGCAUGAAGACAGCAAAG